GACGAACGCUGGCGGCGUGCUUAACACAUGCAAGUCGAACGAUGAAGCCGGAGCUUGCUCUGGUGAAUUAGUGGCGAACGGGUGAGUAACACGUGAGUAACCUGCCCUUGACUCUGGGAUAACUGCGGGAAACUGUAGCUAAUACCGGAUACGACCCUCGGAGGCAUCUCCUGGGGGUGGAAAGAAUUUCGGUCAAGGAUGGACUCGCGGCCUAACAGCUAGUUGGUGAGGUAAAGGCUCACCAAGGCGACGACGGGUAGCCGGCCUGAGAGGGUGACCGGCCACACUGGGACUGAGACACGGCCCAGACUCCUACGGGAGGCAGCAGUGGGGAAUAUUGCACAGUGGGCGCAAGCCUGAUGCAGCAACGCCGCGUGAGGGAUGACGGCCUUCGGGUUGUAAACCUCUUUUAGCAGGGAAGAAGCGAAAGUGACGGUACCUGCAGAAAAAGCACCGGCUAACUACGUGCCAGCAGCCGCAGUAA
Molecule: ribosomal RNA, 484 nt
Filed under: uncultured bacterium
Lineage: Bacteria
Description: partial 16S ribosomal RNA
Rfam family: Bacterial small subunit ribosomal RNA
Source: RNAcentral